GCCUUCGUGGUGUAAUGGUCAACACACUCGGCGCGUAUUCGAGAGGUCCAAGGUUCGAGUCCCGGCGAGGACA
RNAcentral lists this transfer RNA (73 nucleotides) under Stegodyphus mimosarum. It matches the Rfam family "tRNA". From Rfam's summary of the family: Transfer RNA (tRNA) molecules are approximately 80 nucleotides in length. Their secondary structure includes four short double-helical elements and three loops (D, anti-codon, and T loops). Lineage: Eukaryota; Metazoa; Arthropoda; Arachnida; Araneae; Eresidae. The record is from Rfam by way of RNAcentral.